GUUUGAUCAUGGCUCAAAUUGAACGCUGGCGGCAGGCCUAACACAUGCAAGUCGAGCGGUAGAGAGAAGCUUGCUUCUCUUGAGAGCGGCGGACGGGUGAGUAAUACCUAGGAAUCUGCCUGAUAGUGGGGGAUAACGUUCGGAAACGGACGCUAAUACCGCAUACGUCCUACGGGAGAAAGCAGGGGACCUUCGGGCCUUGCGCUAUCAGAUGAGCCUAGGUCGGAUUAGCUAGUUGGUGAGGUAAUGGCUCACCAAGGCUACGAUCCGUAACUGGUCUGAGAGGAUGAUCAGUCACACUGGAACUGAGACACGGUCCAGACUCCUACGGGAGGCAGCAGUGGGGAAUAUUGGACAAUGGGCGAAAGCCUGAUCCAGCCAUGCCGCGUGUGUGAAGAAGGUCUUCGGAUUGUAAAGCACUUUAAGUUGGGAGGAAGGGCAGUAAAUUAAUACUUUGCUGUUUUGACGUUACCGACAGAAUAAGCACCGGCUAACUCUGUGCCAGCAGCCGCGGUAAUACAGAGGGUGCAAGCGUUAAUCGGAAUUACUGGGCGUAAAGCGCGCGUAGGUGGUUUGUUAAGUUGAAUGUGAAAUCCCCGGGCUCAACCUGGGAACUGCAUCCAAAACUGGCAAGCUAGAGUAUGGUAGAGGGUAGUGGAAUUUCCUGUGUAGCGGUGAAAUGCGUAAAUAUAGGAAGGAACACCAGUGGCGAAGGCGACUACCUGGACUGAUACUGACACUGAGGUGCGAAAGCGUGGGGAGCAAACAGGAUUAAAUACCCUGGUAGUCCACGCCGUAAACGAUGUCAACU
This 811-nucleotide ribosomal RNA is filed under the name uncultured Pseudomonas sp. RNAcentral's name for it is "bacterial SSU rRNA". It matches the Rfam family "Bacterial small subunit ribosomal RNA", at positions 11 to 817 of the family's 1533-position model. Lineage: Bacteria; Pseudomonadati; Pseudomonadota; Gammaproteobacteria; Pseudomonadales; Pseudomonadaceae. The record is from RNAcentral.